AACUGUUACCACUAGAUGAAUUCAUAGUCUAGUUGGAGGUAAACGCUGUGAACUGAAACAUCUCAUUAGCAGCAGGAAUAUAAAGAAAUUUCGAUUCCCUAAGUAGCGGCGAGCGAACGGGGAACAGCCCAAACCAAAGUGCUUGCACUUUGGGGUUGUAGGACUGAACAUUUGAGUUACCAAAGAACUUGAUAGUCGAAGGAUUUGGGAAAAUCCGCCAUAGAUGGUGAUAGCCCAGUAGAUUAAAUCAAAUUCUCUCAGUUCAGGAUCCUGAGUACGGCGGAACACGUGAAAUUCCGUCGGAAUCCGGGAGGACCAUCUCCCAAGGCUAAAUACUACCUAGUGACCGAUAGUGAACCAGUACCGUGAGGGAAAGGUGAAAAGCACCCCGGGAGGGGAGUGAAAUAGUUCCUGAAACCAUGUGCCUACAAUAAGUCAGAGCGCGUUAAUGCGUGAUGGCGUGCCUUUUGUAGAAUGAACCGGCGAGUUAUGAUCCCGUGCAAGGUUAAGACUAAAAAGUCGGAGCCGUAGCGAAAGCGAGUCUGAAAUGGGCGUUUUGAGUACGAGGUUAUAGACCCGAAACCAGGUGACCUAUCCAUGUCCAGGUUGAAGGUGCGGUAAAACGCACUGGAGGACCGAACCCGUGUAAGUUGAAAAUUGCUGGGAUGAGGUGUGGAUAGCGGUGAAAUUCCAAACGAACUUGGAGAUAGCUGGUUCUCUCCGAAAUAGCUUUAGGGCUAGCCUCGGAAUUAGGAUCAUGGAGGUAGAGCACUAUUUGGACUAGGGGCCCGUCUUGGGUUACUGAAUUCAGAUAAACUCCGAAUGCCAUUGAUUCAUAUCCGGGAGUCAGACGAUGAGUGAUAAGAUCCACCGUCGAAAGGGGAACAGCCCAGACCAUCAGUUAAGGUCCCUAAAUGUAUGCUAAGUGGAAAAGGAUGUGGAGUUGCAUAGACAACUAGGAUGUUGGCUCAGAAGCAGCCACCAUUUAAAGAGUGCGUAAUAGCUCACUAGUCGAGUGAUCCUGCGCCGAAAAUGUACCGGGGCUAAGCAUACUACCGAAACCAUGGAUGCGACCAUUAGGUCGCGUGAUAGGAGAGCGUUCUAAGGGCGGUGAAGCAAGAUCGUGAGGACUUGUGGAGCGCUUAGAAGUGAGAAUGCCGGUAUGAGUAGCGAAAGAUAGGUGAGAAUCCUAUCCACCGAAUGACUAAGGUUUCCUGGGGAAGGCUCGUCCUCCCAGGGUUAGUCGGGACCUAAGUCGAGGCCGAGAGGCGUAGACGAUGGAUAACAGGUUGAGAUUCCUGUACUAGUUAAGUGCGUUUGAGCAAUGGAGGGACGCAGGAGGCUAAGAUGUGCAUUCUGUUGGAUUAGAAUGUCCAAGCAGUAAGUCUUGUGAAGAGUCAAAUGCUUUUCACUUUAAGGACAAGCUGUGAUGGGGAGCGAAAUUUAGUAGCGAAGCGUCUGAUGUCACACUGCCGAGAAAAGCUUCUAGUGAGUACUUAACUACCCGUACCGCAAACCGACACAGGUAGUCGAGGAGAGAAUCCUAAGGUGAGCGAGUGAACUCUCGUUAAGGAACUCGGCAAAAUGACCCCGUAACUUCGGGAGAAGGGGUGCUGAUCGCAAGAUCAGCCGCAGUGAAUAGGCCCAGGCGACUGUUUAUCAAAAACACAGGUCUCUGCAAAAUCGUAAGAUGACGUAUAGGGGCUGACGCCUGCCCGGUGCUGGAAGGUUAAAAGGAUGGGUUAGCUUCGGCGAAGCUCAGAAUUGAAGCCCCAGUAAACGGCGGCCGUAACUAUAACGGUCCUAAGGUAGCGAAAUUCCUUGUCGGGUAAGUUCCGACCCGCACGAAAGGCGUAACGAUCUGGGCACUGUCUCAACGAGAGACUCGGUGAAAUUAUAUUGUCCGUGAAGAUGCGGACUACCCGCGACAGGACGGAAAGACCCCAUGGAGCUUUACUGUAGCUUGAUAUUGAGUGUUUGUACAGCUUGUACAGGAUAGGUAGGAGCCAUAGAAACCGGAACGCUAGUUUCGGUGGAGGCGUUGGUGGGAUACUACCCUCGCUGUAUGACCACUCUAACCCGCACCACUAAUCGUGGUGGGAGACAGUGUCAGGUGGGCAGUUUGACUGGGGCGGUCGCCUCCUAAAAAGUAACGGAGGCGCCCAAAGGUUCCCUCAGAAUGGUUGGAAAUCAUUCGCAGAGUGUAAAGGCACAAGGGAGCUUGACUGCGAGACAGACAGGUCGAGCAGGGACGAAAGUCGGGCUUAGUGAUCCGGUGGUACCGUAUGGAAGGGCCAUCGCUCAACGGAUAAAAGCUACCCUGGGGAUAACAGGCUUAUCUCCCCCAAGAGUCCACAUCGACGGGGAGGUUUGGCACCUCGAUGUCGGCUCAUCGCAUCCUGGGGCUGUAGUCGGUCCCAAGGGUUGGGCUGUUCGCCCAUUAAAGCGGUACGCGAGCUGGGUUCAGAACGUCGUGAGACAGUUCGGUCCCUAUCCGUCGCGGGCGUAGGAAAUUUGAGAGGACCUGUCCUUAGUACGAGAGGACCGGGAUGGACAUACCUCUGGUGUACCAGUUGUGCCGCCAGGCGCAUCGCUGGGUAGCUACGUAUGGAUGUGAUAAACGCUGAAAGCAUCUAAGUGUGAAACACACCUCGAGAUGAGAUUUCCCAUUCCUUUAUGGAAGUAAGACCCCUGAAAGAUGAUCAGGUAGAUAGGUUAGAAGUGGCAGUGCGGUGACGCAUGAAGCGGACUAAUACUAAUCGGUCGAGGACUUAACCAA
Molecule: ribosomal RNA, 2779 nt
Filed under: Lactiplantibacillus plantarum
Lineage: Bacteria; Bacillati; Bacillota; Bacilli; Lactobacillales; Lactobacillaceae
Description: bacterial LSU rRNA
Rfam family: Bacterial large subunit ribosomal RNA
Source: RNAcentral